CGUGUAGGCGACUCUUUAAGUUGAAUGUGAAAUCCCUCGGCUCAACUGAGAGCGGUCAUUCAAAACUGGAGGGAUUUGAGGACAGAAGAGGGAAGUGGAAUUCUCGGUGUAGCGGUAAAAUGCGUAGAUAUCGAGAAGAACACCGGUGGCGAAGGCGACUUCCUGGUCUGUUCCUGACGCUGAUGCGCGAAAGCUAGGGGAGCAAACG
This 208-nucleotide ribosomal RNA is filed under the name uncultured bacterium. RNAcentral describes it as "partial 16S ribosomal RNA". It matches the Rfam family "Bacterial small subunit ribosomal RNA", at positions 568 to 774 of the family's 1533-position model. The record is from RNAcentral.